Trichomycterus rosablanca is the source of this 660-nucleotide long non-coding RNA. RefSeq lists it as uncharacterized. The transcript is spliced from 2 exons. The record is from RefSeq and is a predicted model, not a curated record. Lineage: Eukaryota; Metazoa; Chordata; Actinopteri; Siluriformes; Trichomycteridae.
UCUGGCCCUUUGAAAUCCUGUGCUGCUUUCCCUCGACAAAGAAGCACUAACAAAGAACAAGAGAAAAAUAUAAAAAUUUUAAAUGGUACCUGCUAUCCAUGCCCAACUGAAGUCAACUUCACCUGCAUAGCAUUUUUAUAUAUUUUACAGAGCAUGGUAUUGUUUGUUUAUUUUAACGUCAUGUUUUACACUUUGGUUACAUUCAUGACAGGAACGGUAGUUACUCAUUACACAAGAUUCAUCAGUUCACACAAGGUUAUAUCAAACACAGUCAUGGACAAUUUAGUAUCUCCAAUCUACCUCACUUGCAUGUCUUUGGACUGUGGGAGGAAACCGGAGUGCCCGGAGUAAACCCACGCAAACACAGGAAGAACCCAGACCACCCCACCUGGGGAUCGAACCAAGGACCUUCUUGCUGUGAGGCAACAGUACUACUCACUUAGCCACCGUGCCACCCUACAGAGCAUGGUAGGAUGUUAGUUACUUGUUUGUAUAACGUAUGCAGUGCACCAACCUGGAGACACCUGCAUUUGUUAUGUUAUUUAAGACAAUGCAUUGAGCAGGUUAACAAAAUGAGCAGAAGAGUAUGGGUGGUUAUUGUGAUGUGACGUGAAACACCUGCAGUGUACUAGACUUUUUUUUUUAAUGUAACAUACAAGU